UUCUUUAAGGUUUUCUGAAGAUAAUGUGG
This 29-nucleotide non-coding RNA is filed under the name Mus musculus (house mouse). The record is from RNAcentral. Lineage: Eukaryota; Metazoa; Chordata; Mammalia; Rodentia; Muridae.